Molecule: ribosomal RNA, 2044 nt
Filed under: marine metagenome
Description: bacterial LSU rRNA
Rfam family: Archaeal large subunit ribosomal RNA
Source: RNAcentral
CUAGGCUUGAGAAGAGAUGAAGGACGUGGCAAGCUGCGAUAAGCUCGGGGUAGGCGCACGCAUCCUAUGAUCCCGAGAUGUCCGAAUGAGAAUCUUACACAUUUGUGUAUUCCAGUACAAUAGUAUUGGAAGUCGAACCGUGGGAAUUGAAGCAUCUUAGUACCACGAGGAAAAGAAAUCAAUUGAGAUUUCCCAAGUAGUGGCGAACGAAAAGGAAAUAGCCCAAACUGAAUCCUUCGGGAGAUGUGGUGUUUUGGUAUGAUAAUAUGGAAUCUUGGAGCACAGCUGAAAUGAUCUGGAAUGUUCUGGAAUAGAGGGUGAUACCCCCGUAAGCGAAGUGUGAAAAGUCCUAUUCAUACCCGAGUAGUUGUCCUUGGUAGUGGGCAAUGAAUAUGGGAGAAAGUAGCUUCCGAGGCUAAAUAUUUCUCAAGACCGAUAGUGGACUAGUACCGUGAGGGAAAGCUGAAAAGUACCCCGGAAGGGGGGCGAAAAGUGCAUGAAACCUAUUGGUUACAGACGUGCGUGGCAUGAAAGGUGAUUUUUUCAGAUUGGAGAUUCUAGCAAUAGAGUUGAAGAUUUGAUGUUCAAAUCAUCAGUGUCACGCGUUCCGUCUCGAAACACGGGCCAAGGAGCUAACCGUCAUGGCAAGCUUAAACUGAAAAAGUGAAAGCGAAGGGAAACCGAGCUCUCGCAGCUUCGUAAGAAGUCAGGAGAGGCGUGUGAAAGUGCGUAGAGUCAUGGCGGCUAGGCUAGAAGCCAGUCGAUCUAUUCCUGAGCUAGAUGAAGGAGGGCGAAAGCCCUCUGGAGGUCUUAAGACGUUCUGACGUGCAAAUCGUUGUUGUGACUUGGGAAUAGGGGUCAAAAACCAAUCUAGACUGGCGCUCGCUAGUUCCAACCGAAGCGUCUCGCAGGGCGUGGUUUGUGGAGAUAGCGUUUCCGGUAGAGCACUGAUAGAGGGGCGCGGGGGAGAAAUUCCUCACCCCUCAUUCAAACUCCGAACGGAUACGCAUCGUAGAAGCAGGCACACGGGCUCAUGUGGCGUAAGGCUCAUGGCCGAAAGGGGUUUAACCCAGACUGAAGUUAAGGUCCCCAAAUUUUUGCUAAGUGUCAAGCUAAAGAGCGUGUUCUCGCCAAGACAGCAGGGAGGUAAGCUCAGAAGCAGCUAUCCUUUAAAAAGUGUGUAACAACUUACCUGCCGAGGGGGGAUGCCUCAAAAACGGACGGGGCUAAAGCAAAAUACCGAUACUUUAGAUAAUUAUCAAUGGAUAAUUCGUGGUAGGUUGGCGUAGUGAUUGGGCCGAAGCAGGGCGAUGACGUCCUGUGGACCGAUUUCUAUUGCAGAUCUUGGCGGCAGUAACAGCAUAGUAUUGUGAGAAACAAUACCACCGCAAGCGCAAGGGUUUCCAGGCAAUGCGUUAUCAGCCUGGAGGUAGUCGAUCCUAAGAUGUGCCUCAACAGAGUACAUCGAAUGGGAAACUAGUUAAUAUUCUAGUACCUUGUAUCAAUCGUUUGAACUAUAUGGUUCGCUUCCGGAUAAGGAGUGUACAAUUAUCGUUGUAUCUAACUAUUCGAGGAUAGGGGAGUGUCGUAAUGACGAGAACCUUUCCGAGGUAGGAAUGGCUUCGCGUUAGCGAAGUUUUCUUGACUCCAGGAGACCAUGAAAGAUUGUGUAGUUAGAAAGAUACAAGUUCGUACCCAGAACCGACACAGGUGCGCUGGAUUAGAAAUCUAAGGUGCUACGGGUAUACCGUAUGGCGAGGGAAUUCGGCAAAUUAGUCCUGUAGCUUAGGUAUAAGGGAUGCCUGCGGUCUUCAUGAGGAAUGGGGAUCGCAGGUUGCAAUGACAAGGGGGUUUCGACUGUUUAAUAAAAACACAGGCGACUGCUAGUCCGAAAGGAUUUGUAUAGUCGCUGAAUCCUGGCCGGUGCCGGUACCUAAAACUUGGGUUCAACCGAGCUAAGGGCCGGUUAACGCCGGGAGUAACUCUGACUCUCUUAAGGUAGCCAAAUGCCUUGUCGGGUAAGUUCCGACGCGCAUGAAUGGAA